RNA transcript from Frieseomelitta varia, 2610 nucleotides. It is a transcript of the gene named oxysterol-binding protein-related protein 9, with no coding region annotated. Lineage: Eukaryota; Metazoa; Arthropoda; Insecta; Hymenoptera; Apidae. The transcript is spliced from 14 exons. The record is from RefSeq and is a predicted model, not a curated record.
UAUAUAUAUGUAUCAUAUGUAUAUGUAUAUGAUCUAUAUGACUGUAUUUAUGUAUACACAUACACUCAUAAAUAACAGUGAGCAACAAAUAACAAUGUCGACGAUGGAAGGUUCACUUAGUAAAUGGACAAAUGUUGUUAAUGGUUGGCAAUAUCGUUGGUUUGUUUUAGACGAUAAUGCUGGUCUUUUAUCAUAUUACACGAGUAAAGAAAAAAUGAUGAGAGGAGCACGUAGAGGAUGUGUACGUUUAAGAGGGGCUAUUAUAGGUAUCGAUGAUGAAGACGAUAGCACAUUUACAAUUACUACAUCAUCAUAUAAAGAUGAUCCAAAAACAUUUCAUUUUCAAACAAGAAAUGCAGAGGAACGAGAACGGUGGAUUCGUGCUUUAGAAGACACUAUAUUACGUCAUUCACAUACUAGAUGGGAUCCUAAAAAAUCUCCUCCAAGGCAAGACUUUGAUCGUAAAGUGGCUGAAGCAGAUGCUUAUCUUCAAUUAUUGAUUGAUCAAAUAAAAUUAAUUGAAACAAAACAAAGUUCUGUUGCUGUAGAAGAUGAAGAAAAACAACAAAAAUAUGCAGCUAUUUUAACUCAAGCCAAUGCAAUGCUUAAUUCCGUUAAACAUACAAUUGUUCAGUUACAAAUUGCAAAGAAUACAGCAAUACCAGUAAAUGGAAUAUAUAGUGGACCCACUGAUUCAACACACGUUCCAUCAUCUUUACCUCAUGUUGCUGCUAGAGAACCAGAAGCAACUGUACAGACUGGUAUUGAAUUAGGUUUUGAAUGUGUAGAACUAAGAGUACCUGCAUUGCCAAAUGCGGUUGUGGAUAGAGAUCUCCCUGUACCCCAAUUUUCUUAUUCAUCUUCGGAUGAAGACGAAGAUUAUUAUGACGCAGCAGACGAAAUAUCACCUCCCUCUGCAAUGCAAAAUCAUAUCAGUAUUAGAAGGCAAGAUAGCGAACGUUCACAAUCACAUGUAGAUGUAUUGAACGAAAAUCGGAAGCAACCUCCGUUGCCACCUACAAAAGGUGAUGGGUCUGUUGAUUAUGAUGCCCUUUAUGAGGAGGAAAGUGAAACAGAAAUGGAUUCCAUGGAAUCUCAUGGAUCCGUAGUGACUCACCUUCUAUCUCAAGUAAAAAUUGGUAUGGAUUUAACAAAAGUAGCAUUACCUACAUUUAUUUUGGAGCGCAGGUCGCUUCUUGAAAUGUAUGCAGACUAUUUUACUCAUCCAGAUCAGUUUGUAAGCAUAGCAGAUAUGCCUACUGCUAAAGAUAGAAUGAUUCAAGUAGUUCGUUGGUAUUUAUGCAGUUUUCACGCAGGUCGUAAAUCAGGGGUAGCUAAGAAACCAUAUAAUCCAAUAUUAGGUGAAAUUUUUAGGUGUCAUUGGGAUAUUCCUAAUGAUACUGUAGAUAGUUCUACUGAUACAAAACUAGUUGUUGGAGGUCCUGUACCUUGGUGCAAAGAGAAUCAGCUUUCAUUUAUUGCUGAACAAGUUUCUCAUCACCCUCCUAUAAGUGCAUUUUAUGCUGAACAUUAUGCAAAAAAGAUCAGUUUUGGAGCACAUGUAUGGACAAAAAGUAAAUUUCUUGGACUGAGUAUAGGAGUACAUAAUGUUGGGAAGGGUUGGGUAAAUGUAUUACAACAUGGAGAGGAAUACGUAUUGACUUUCCCAAAUGGUUAUGGUAGAUCUAUUCUCACCAUACCAUGGAUAGAAUUAGGAGGGACUGCAACUAUCCAUUGCGCACAAACUGGUUAUCACGCUACUGUAGAAUUUUUAACAAAACCUUUUUAUGGUGGCAAACGUAAUCGAAUUACAUGUCAAAUUACACAACCGGGAGAUAAAAAACCAUUUGUUGUUAUAAACGGAGAAUGGAGUGGUGCUAUGGAAGCCAAAUGGGCUGAUGGAAGAAGUGAAAUAUUUGCGGAUGUAAAAGAACUUCAUACUCAAAGAAAAUUAAUAAAGCCAGUAUGUGAACAAGAAGAACAUGAAUCGCGAAAAGUUUGGCGGGAUGUAACUGUUGGAUUAAGAAUUAAUGACAUGGAAAAAGCAACAGCUGCUAAAUGUACAAUUGAACAAAAACAACGAGAGGAAGCGCGUACUAGGAAAGAAAAUAAUAUCAAUUGGCAAACUAAGUUGUUCAAAGAAACUAAAGACGGUGGUUGGAUAUACAUAAAACCCCUUGCUGAGAGAUUACAUUCUAGUUUCAAUCAAAGUACUACAACAUAAACUCGCAAUAUGAUAUGUUGCAGUUUUAGACAUUGCACAGUACUAGAAAUUUAAGGCCUAACACAUAUGAUUAAUUAUAUAUUUACCUUCUUAAAUUUAUUGACUCUGAGUUAUACAGAAGAACAAAACUGAAAGAUAAUGUCUAAAAUGAUUUAGUUAAUAUAUUUAAAAAAUGGACAACUGUACUUGUAACUGUAAAAAUAAUAUAUAUGAUGUACAUUACAUUUAUGUACAUAAUUGGUUGUUCUUAACUUCCAUGAAAUGGAAACAAGUAGCAUUUUAAUAAUGUAAAUAUUUAUAAAUAUUGUUCGUAGUUCUUUACGCAUAAGAUUUUACAUAUAUUUUAAUUGCUUUUUAAUUAACCACAAAGUAUUAAAAUAUUUUAG